UCGAGAAUUUUUCACAAUGGGCGCAAGCCUGAUGGGGCGACGCCGCGUGGGGGAUGAAUGGCUUCGGCCCGUAAACCCCUGUCAUUUGCGAUCAACCGUUAUUAUUUAAAAGAUGAUAACCUGAUAGUAGCGAAAGAGGAAGGGACGGCUAACUCUGGGCCAGCAGCCGCGGUAAUACAGAGGUCCCAAGCGUUGUUCGGAUUUACUGGGCGUAAAGGGUGCGUAGGUGGCGGUGUAAGUCGGAUGUGAAAUCUCCGAGCUCAACUCGGAAACUGCAUUGGAAAAUACAUUGCUCGAGGGUUGGAGAGGGGACUGGAAUACUUGGUGUAGCAGUGAAAUGCGUAGAUAUCAAGUGGAACACCAGUGGCGAAGGCGAGUCCCUGGACAACUCCUGACACUGAGGCACGAAAGCUAGGGGAGCAAACAG
Molecule: ribosomal RNA, 427 nt
Filed under: uncultured bacterium
Lineage: Bacteria
Description: bacterial SSU rRNA
Rfam family: Bacterial small subunit ribosomal RNA
Source: RNAcentral